GCCGUGGCCAUCUUACUGGGCAGCAUUGGAUGGUGUCUGGUCUCUAAUACUGCCUGGUAAUGAUGACGGC
MicroRNA precursor from Cavia aperea (Brazilian guinea pig), 70 nucleotides. Ensembl annotates it as microRNA 200b. The record is from Ensembl. NCBI's taxonomy places the organism in Eukaryota, Metazoa, Chordata, Mammalia, Rodentia, Caviidae.